AUGAACGCUGGCGGCGUGCCUAAUACAUGCAAGUCGAGCGAACAGAUGAGGAGCUUGCUCCUCUGACGUUAGCGGCGGACGGGUGAGUAACACGUGGAUAACCUACCUAUAAGACUGGGAUAACUUCGGGAAACCGGAGCUAAUACCGGAUAAUAUAUUGAACCGCAUGGUUCAAUAGUGAAAGACGGUUUUGCUGUCACUUAUAGAUGGAUCCGCGCCGCAUUAGCUAGUUGGUAAGGUAACGGCUUACCAAGGCAACGAUGCGUAGCCGACCUGAGAGGGUGAUCGGCCACACUGGAACUGAGACACGGUCCAGACUCCUACGGGAGGCAGCAGUAGGGAAUCUUCCGAAAUGGGCGAAAGCCUGACGGAGCAACGCAGCGUGAGUGAUGAAGGUAUUCGGAUCGUAAAACUCUGUUAUUAGGGAAGAACAAAUGUGUAAGUAACUAUGCACGUCUUGACGGUACCUAAUCAGAAAGCCACGGCUAACUACGUG
RNAcentral lists this ribosomal RNA (496 nucleotides) under uncultured bacterium. RNAcentral's name for it is "partial 16S ribosomal RNA". It matches the Rfam family "Bacterial small subunit ribosomal RNA", at positions 29 to 507 of the family's 1533-position model. The record is from RNAcentral.